This 68-nucleotide transfer RNA is filed under the name Andrias davidianus (Chinese giant salamander). RNAcentral describes it as "tRNA-Phe". It matches the Rfam family "tRNA". From Rfam's summary of the family: Transfer RNA (tRNA) molecules are approximately 80 nucleotides in length. Their secondary structure includes four short double-helical elements and three loops (D, anti-codon, and T loops). The record is from RNAcentral. Lineage: Eukaryota; Metazoa; Chordata; Amphibia; Caudata; Cryptobranchidae.
GUUAGUAUAGCUUAUUUAAAGCGUGGCACUGAAAAUGCCCAGAUAGAUUUUAAAAAAUCUUGCAGACA